Talpa occidentalis (Iberian mole) is the source of this 77-nucleotide small nucleolar RNA. RefSeq annotates it as small nucleolar RNA SNORD115. The transcript has a single exon. Lineage: Eukaryota; Metazoa; Chordata; Mammalia; Eulipotyphla; Talpidae. The record is from RefSeq and is a predicted model, not a curated record.
GGGUCAAUGAUGAGAACUCUAAUGUCUUAAGAGAGAUGGUGACAAAAAUCUGUCAUGGGUGGUGUCAUCUGAGGCCC